Long non-coding RNA from Gossypium arboreum, 592 nucleotides. RefSeq lists it as uncharacterized. The transcript is spliced from 4 exons. NCBI's taxonomy places the organism in Eukaryota, Viridiplantae, Streptophyta, Magnoliopsida, Malvales, Malvaceae. The record is from RefSeq and is a predicted model, not a curated record.
UUCUUUUCUAUCCUUCUCUCAUCUCUUCCCCUCUUCUCUUUUCUUUCUCCUCUUAAUUCUCAUCUUAUCUUUUUGCCGAACCUAAAUCCUUCAUAUUCUUCUUCUUUUCUUUCUUAAAUCCUCAACAAACUGGUUAGCCGAAUUUCCAUUGAAGCCAAACCUCGUAUCUUUUCUUUCAAAACUGAAAUCUUACUACUUUGAGGUACUACAAAGGCCGAACCCUUGGUUGAGUAUUUUUCCUUUCUUGUGCGGUAGUUGGAUCUACAAUCGAUUGGGAGUAGUGUCAUAACAAUAUAGUGUGGAUUAAAGGCUACUAAUCGAAGGCUUGGAUAUUUGGAACGACCAGAAUUAGAUCUAGUCCAUUUUUUCGGCAAAGGCAGUUCGUGUGUGGAACUCGUCAGUGUUUCGUCACAAACAGGUGAGCCUUAGAUCGAUGGACUUGGAGCUGGGCGGGAUUCAGAGUGGCCACGAAGAUUAAGUUUCUGUUUUCUUUAAAAUAAGUUUCGCAUUUAUUAUUUUGAUCAUUUUUAUUCUGGUUUAAGUUGUAAUAAGGCCGUUCUUUUUAUUAUUUUUAAUAUUUUGGGUUAUUAAA